GAUUCAUAAUAACUCAACGAAUCGCAUGGCCUUGCGCCGGCGAUGGUUCAUUCAAAUUUCUGCCCUAUCAACUUUCGAUGGUAGGAUAGUGGCCUACCAUGGUUUCUACGGGUAACGGGGAAUUAGGGUUCUAUUCCGGAGAGGGAGCCUGAGAAACGGCUACCACAUCCAAGGAAGGCAGCAGGCGCGCAAAUUACCCAAUCCCGACACGGGGAGGUAGUGACAAUAAAUACUGAUGGAGAGCUCUUUUGGGUUUUCUAGUUGGAAUGAGUACAAUUUAAAUUUCUUAAUGAGGAACAAUUGGAGGGCAAGUCUGGUGCCAGCAGCCGCGGUAAUUCCAGCUCCAAUAGCGUAUAUUAAAGUUGUUGCAGUUAAAAAGCUCGUAGUUGAAACUCAGGCCUGGCUGGCCGGUCCGCCUCACCGCGAGCACUGGUUCGGCCGGGCUUUUUCCUUCUGGGGAGCCGCAUGCCCUUCACUGGGUGCGUUGGGGAACCAGGACUUUUACUUUGAAAAAAUUAGAGUGUUCAAAGCAGGCAUAUGCUCGGAUACAUUAGCAUGGAAUAAUAGAAUAGGACGUGUGGUUCUAUUUUGUUGGUUUCUAGGACCGCCGUAAUGAUUAAUAGGGAUAGUCGGGGGCAUCAGUAUUCAAUUGUCAGAGGUGAAAUUCUUGGAUUUAUUGAAGACUAACUACUGCGAAAGCAUUUGCCAAGGAUGUUUUCAUUAAUCAGUGAAC
This 733-nucleotide ribosomal RNA is filed under the name Peltigera sp. 8 NM-2016. RNAcentral describes it as "SSU rRNA". It matches the Rfam family "Eukaryotic small subunit ribosomal RNA", at positions 248 to 984 of the family's 1831-position model. The record is from RNAcentral. Lineage: Eukaryota; Fungi; Ascomycota; Lecanoromycetes; Peltigerales; Peltigeraceae.